AACGCAUCUUGCGCUCCUUGGUAUUCCGAGGAGCAUGCCUGUUUGAGUGUCAUUAAAUUCUCAACUCUCCUAUACUUUGUUGUAAAGGAGGGCUUGGAUUGUGGAGGCUUGCUGGCCGCUUGCUGUGGUCGGCUCCUCUGAAAUACAUUAGCAGAACUGUUUGCGAUCUGCCACAAGUGUGAUAAAUUAUCUGCACUGGCGGGGGAUUGCUCUCUUGUGUUCAGCUUCUAAUCGUCUUCAGUGACAAUUUAAUUGAAUACUUGACCUCAAAUCAGGUAGGACUACCCGCUGAACUUAA
This 298-nucleotide unclassified non-coding RNA is filed under the name uncultured fungus. RNAcentral describes it as "partial contains 5.8S ribosomal RNA, internal transcribed spacer 2, and large subunit ribosomal RNA". The stretch from base 1 to 52 matches the Rfam family "5.8S ribosomal RNA", at positions 103 to 154 of the family's 154-position model. The record is from RNAcentral. Lineage: Eukaryota; Fungi.